RNAcentral lists this ribosomal RNA (253 nucleotides) under uncultured bacterium. Its description in RNAcentral is "partial 16S ribosomal RNA". It matches the Rfam family "Bacterial small subunit ribosomal RNA", at positions 524 to 776 of the family's 1533-position model. The record is from RNAcentral.
UACGGAGGGUGCAAGCGUUGUCCGGAUUUAUUGGGUUUAAAGGGUGCGUAGGCGGCCUAUUAAGUCAGUGGUGAAAGCCUCCAGCUCAACUGGAGAACUGCCAUUGAUACUGAUAGGCUUGAGUACAGUCGAGGUAGGCGGAAUUGAUUGUGUAGCGGUGAAAUGCAUAGAUACAAUCAAGAACACCGAUUGCGUAGGCAGCUUACUAGGCUGUAACUGACGCUGAGGCACGAAAGCGUGGGGAGCGAACAGG